CACUCACAAGCAAAUCCUAUUGUUUGCUGCAAACCCUGCCCCUGCUAAACCAAGCCCAGUGUGAUGGGCAAGUUUGUUUUUACCCUGAAAUAAAAUAGUUUUCUGUAGCAUACUGUUAGGUUAACAAUAAUUUAGAUUAUUAAAUAGUAUUAGCUUUGUAGCUAAACACAAGGCAUGACCUGUGGCCUAGCAAUGUUGCUGACCACAAGACAGAAUGAUAAUUAAGCCAGCCAUUUUCUUAUGUCAAGUACCUUAACCAUUUUGUUAGAAAAAAGCAGAAAUUAAGUCUGUGUACUGAGUACCAGCUGCAGCUAGGAGUGAGAUAAGAUAAGGCGGGCCCAGAGGGAAGAAGAUGGUACAGUGGAGUACAGGAAAACAGAUUGGAAUGUUAGAAUGUUAAACGCAUGCACCAAGGAAUAUUAAUGGAACACGCUUGGCUGUGGCAAGGAGAAGAGAACCUUCCACCUGGGCCCUUGGAUGAUCAGUGCUGAAAAAGCAAGGAAGUCACGCUGUGUUACCACCCCAGC
This is a long non-coding RNA of Alligator sinensis (Chinese alligator), 527 nucleotides long. RefSeq lists it as uncharacterized. The transcript has 3 exons. NCBI's taxonomy places the organism in Eukaryota, Metazoa, Chordata, Crocodylia, Alligatoridae. The record is from RefSeq and is a predicted model, not a curated record.